GCCCGGGUGGCGAAAUUGGCAGACGCGCCAGGUUGAGGGCCUGGUGAGCUUAAUAGCUCAUGCUGGUUCGAAUCCAGUCCCGGGCA
This 86-nucleotide transfer RNA is filed under the name Phycisphaerae bacterium. RNAcentral's name for it is "tRNA-Leu". It matches the Rfam family "tRNA". Rfam says of the family: Transfer RNA (tRNA) molecules are approximately 80 nucleotides in length. Their secondary structure includes four short double-helical elements and three loops (D, anti-codon, and T loops). The record is from RNAcentral. Lineage: Bacteria; Pseudomonadati; Planctomycetota; Phycisphaerae.